CUUGGUCAUUUAGAGGAAGUAAAAGUCGUAACAAGGUUUCAGUAGGUGAACCUGCGGAAAGAUCAUUAAUGAAACAAGUGAAGGUUGUUGCUGGCCUCUAGGGGCACUGUGCACGCCUUUUUUGUUCUCCUUACCUGUGCAUUGUUGUAGGCAUGACCUUUUUGUGUUGUGUCUACGAUUUUUACUACAUACACUUGUCUCUGAAUGUUAUUAAGGAAAGAAAUAAAAUAUAUACAACUUUCAACAACGGAUCUCUUGGCUCUCGCAUCGAUGAAGAACGCAGCGAAAUGCGAUAAGUAAUGUGAAUUGCAGAAUUCAGUGAAUCAUCGAAUCUUUGAACGCAACUUGCGCUCCUUGGUAUUCCGAGGAGCAUGCCUGUUUGAGUGUCAUUAAAUUCUCUCGAAAGCACGUUUGUAAUGUGGUUUUGGAUUAUGGGAGCAUGCUGGCUUGGAUGUAAGCCAGCUCUCCUGAAAGGAAUUAGCUGGAGGCUGUAUCCAAUUCCCAUCCCUCUCUUGUAUGAUAAAUUGUCAAAGCCAUUGGCGGGUCAGGAUGGAUUUUCAACCUCUGCUUUGUAAACAUGGUCUGGUUUAGCCAGACUGAUAUGCUGAACACUUUGACCUCAAAUCAGUAGGAUACCCGCUGAACUUAAGCAUAUCAAUAAGCGGAGGA
Molecule: ribosomal RNA, 669 nt
Filed under: Amanita inculta
Lineage: Eukaryota; Fungi; Basidiomycota; Agaricomycetes; Agaricales; Amanitaceae
Description: eukaryotic LSU rRNA
Rfam family: 5.8S ribosomal RNA (bases 236-389)
Source: RNAcentral